UCGUCUGGCCGUUGGAGGAUACCUUUUUCCUGCCAGCUGCAGGGUAGUGGAGAAGAGGCUGGUCUGGGAGCAGGCCGUGGGAGAUAUUUUUUGGGGGAGUUUUUUUUUGGAGAGGGGGAUUCAUCUUUCAGAGGAGGAAAAAAAGUUGAGGGGGGAGAGAGGAAAAGAGAGGACGGCUACAGGAAGAGUUUUUUAGGGGACUUUCUCUGGGAAAGCUACUAGAGAGAGAAGGAAGCUCGCGGGAGAGAGGGGUAAGCUUUGGAGAGAACUAGGGAUGGAAGGGGGGAGGAGUAGCAGAGAGGUGAGUUUUUGGAGAGCUUAGAGAGAGAUAUUUUUUUAGGGCAUUGCUUGACAAGCAAGCCGGACAGGAGAAUAAGUUUUCUUAGAGCUUGAGGAGAGCUCAGAGAGAAAACCAAGGGGAACUUGCUGGUGAGAAUAGGAGGGGAUAUCUUUUCUUUUCUAGAGGUAGCAGAGUGGAGAAGAAACAAGUUUGAAGGUAAGCAUCUCGGGAGUAAAAGGACUUCCUCAGAUUUUUGAAGAUGGAGAGGCUCGAAAACCAUCUAUGCAUACUGAUGUAGGUCCCGUGUCUGAGACAAGAGGUGCAGAAAAUGCCGAUUAUGCUGAUUCUGAUAAUAAAAACAGUGGGAUUUCUUGGGUCCUUAUUGUGAUGGUUGCCCUAUGUCACACCCUCAUGAGGAAGAAGACACCAAAACAGAAUAUCUCGGUAAAAUAUUAUGGUAUCAGCAGGGAAUGUCUCAAUGUCGUUACUGAUGAGUAAACUGACAUGGUUGCUGAGAAAGGCGUUUGUUUUGACAAGUCAACCACAGUUGAGAUCUCUGGAGACGCGCGGUCAUAGCCUAGAGCUCGCGCUGGAUGAGAUAUCAUUUGACUUGGCUGUGUCAAACAAAAAGGCGUACCAUACAGACUCCGCGGGAGCCUCAUGCUGCAUGCUAACUGAUGCUGAUUUUCUAAACUAUAAGUUUUGGAGGAAAACAGAAGGCCGGAGAUCAGCAUCAAGGCUUUCUUCUUCUCAAACCACUCAAUCAAGCAUCCGAUGAAACGCUGCACUUGAUCCUUGAGACACUGCAAGCAGCUAUAAAGACGGGUCAUGAAGCAUCUGCAGCAAUAAAACCCAUCAAUCUCAUUAUCCAUCAAGUCAAGCCAAACCAUUUCUCCAACCUCUUCACAGCCAUACCCGUCUUUCUUACCCCUGAACAUACCUAUUCUCCAUACCCAUUAAAUCUACUCCUCUUCACCACUCCUUCCACUGAUCCUAAGCCUUAUCUCUCUACACUACACGCCUCCAUACCCAUCUUCUAAUGCCCGUCACCACACCACUCCCUCACACUAUCCCACUCACCCAUGUUCAAAAGAAUGCGUGGCUAAAACACUGAGGAUGUUAAGGAGUUCCAGAGAGUGCCAGGGUGCAGAUGUAUAUAUAUUUCCAUGCAGUGAACAGAUUGCAAGAUGCCCACGAACAGAUCGGUACAGUCGUCUCAACAGUUUUGAAGGCAAGCCACCUGCUUCUCAUAUUUCUGGGGUCUUCGGAACGGGGUCUGAUUGGACAUUUUUCUAGUAUCCAACCGAAUUUGAUGCUGGAAGUGGGAGAAAUUCAAGGAAGGCCUGCGAAGACUACCUCUCAUGUCUUUGAUAACGAGAAUCAUUCCAGCUUGGAUUGAUAUUAUCCCAAAAGCUCCAGUUUUGCCAAAAGAUCCAAGAAUAAACGAAGCAAUGAAUGCUAGAAUCAUGGUACAAUCUUUCAAACGAGUUCAAGGUGCAGUUGCAGUGGAAAUCCUCCUAUCAAACUGAUCUCAUUCUCCAAACAAGCAGCUGAAACUUUGAUGAUAAGUGGGUCUAGUCAUUUAUGGUCGGACUCUCCCGGGGAUUGAGCACAUAGUUACACAGUUGUGAUUAUAUCCCCAAGUACUAACAUGAGUGAAGAUUUGAAAUCUCAGCAGUGGUGGCACCAUGUUGAGAAGGGAACCCUCCUUGAAGCUGCAGAUCACCAACUUUUGAAGAAUUUGAAGAAAAAUAUGAAGAAUUUGAAAACAAAAUAUGGAGGAACACCUCAAUUCAUUCUGUGAUACCUCCCUUUACAAUGAAUGAAAGCAUAAAUAAAUAGCCUACGGAUAUGAGACAAUUCCGGAA
Vitis vinifera (wine grape) is the source of this 2148-nucleotide long non-coding RNA. RefSeq lists it as uncharacterized. The record is from RefSeq and is a predicted model, not a curated record. The transcript has 2 exons. Lineage: Eukaryota; Viridiplantae; Streptophyta; Magnoliopsida; Vitales; Vitaceae.